RNAcentral lists this long non-coding RNA (522 nucleotides) under Rhinopithecus bieti (black snub-nosed monkey). RNAcentral describes it as "lncRNA (ENSRBIG00000046486.1)". Lineage: Eukaryota; Metazoa; Chordata; Mammalia; Primates; Cercopithecidae. The record is from RNAcentral.
CUGUGCUCCUCCCUCUCAUUCACAUGUUGAUACCCAAUCUCCAGUGUGAUGGAAUUUGGAGGUGGAGACUUUGAGAAGCAAUUCAGUUAUGAGGGCAGAGAAACCUCAUGAAUGGGAUAAGCGCCCUUAUCAAAGAGAGUCCAGAAAGCUGCCUCACCCCUUCCUCCGUGUGAGGACACAGCAGCAGCAAGUACUCCAGCAGCAGGAAGUACUGAUCUUCUGUGCUAAUGCUCAGUCUACUUCACGGCUGGAAUUUCCCUCGAGAGGGGAUUUAUGGCAGCGUCACUCUCAGAAGACUCUGCCUGUAGUCAGGUGGCCUGGUUGAUAUCAACAACAUGUGAAAUUCCAUUCAUGAUGCAGUACCUAAGACACAUGAGGAGCUGACCACCCGUUGCCUGCCAAUGGUGCUGCAUGCCACACUGGCCUGCUUAUACCUCAGAAGAUGGAGCUUUACAGUUGACCUCGAGCCAUGUUUAGUUUCCCACGUGCUGGUUCAGAAGUCUCACCAGCUAUUAAAAUUUG